AGGAUCAUUACCAUGUCAUUCAGUCGCGCUGCCGCGUGAACUGUAUAAACCCAAUCCCGGGUACCUUUCCUGUUGCUUCCCGCUGGGCCUCUGGGAUUUGAAAGUGGAUGUCGCCGGGACAAACCCAGCUCUAAGCUGUACGUCACGUUCCUGGCGGCUUUCCGAGGAGGCCGCUCACCAGGCGCCCACCUAGCCCGGCAGUGCUCCAGCGGAAUGUCAAAUAAACAUCCGUGUCUACAAACUGAAAUCUGUCUGAAGAAAAGAACAAUAUGAAACGUUAAAACUUUCAGCAACGGAUCUCUUGGUUCUCGCAUCGAUGAAGAACGCAGCGAAAUGCGAUAAGUAGUGUGAAUUGCAGAAUUCCGUGAAUCAUCGAAUCUUUGAACGCACAUUGCGCCUUCUGGUAUUCCGGAGGGCAUGCCUGUUCGAGAGUCAUUAACAACUGUUUCGAUCCCUCUCACAAAAUUAACAGGUGAAAGGGCUUGGUCAUGGCGGAGGAGGAUGAGAUCGUUCAACAUGUAAGGUGUUGCGUUCCCGCCUCCCCACCAAAAUUGUACAGGCGGUCUUGUCGGCCCACGCAUCGAGGUGUUGUAAAAGCUGCCCCGGCACCUUUCACCCGUGCAAGAGGAAGAUUGGCCAGCCGGUUUAAAACCCCCCCCAAACAAUCAAAGGUGACCUCGGAUCAGGUAGGGAUACCCGCUGAACUUAAGCAUAUCAAUAAGCGGAGGAAAAGAAACCAAUCGGGAUUGCCUCAGUAACUGCGAGUGAAGUGGCAAAAGCUCAAAUUUGAAAUCCGGUACCUGCGGUGCCUGAGUUGUAAUUUGGAGAGGCAAAUUUUGUUGAUGGCGCCGGUCUAGGUUCCUUGGAACAGGACAACACAGAGGGUGAGAAUCCCGUGCCUGGCUGGACUGCUGUCGCUCCGAUAAAUUGUCUUCGACGAGUCGAGUUGUUUGGGAAUGCAGCUCAAAAUGGGUGGUAAAUGUCAUCUAAAGCUAAAUAUUGGCGAGAGACCGAUAGCGCACAAGUAGAGUGAUCGAAAGAUGAAAAGCACUUUGAAAAGAGAGUCAAAAAGUACGUGAAAUUGCUGAAAGGGAAGCGCUUGAGACCAGACUCGAGCCGUGGUGAUCAGCCGUGCUUCUGGACGGUGUCACUCGCCACGGUUUGGGCCAGCAUCGGUUCUGGCGGCCGGAUAAAAGGUGGGGGAAUGUAGCUUCCUUCGGGGAGUGUUAUAGCCCUCAUCACAAUGCGGCCAGCUGGGACUGAGGACCGCGCUCAU
Molecule: ribosomal RNA, 1276 nt
Filed under: Humaria cazaresii
Lineage: Eukaryota; Fungi; Ascomycota; Pezizomycetes; Pezizales; Pyronemataceae
Description: eukaryotic LSU rRNA
Rfam family: Eukaryotic large subunit ribosomal RNA (bases 673-1276)
Source: RNAcentral